GUAGGGAAUCUUCCGCAAUGGACGAAAGUCUGACGGAGCAACGCCGCGUGAGUGAAGAAGGUUUUCGGAUCGUAAAGCUCUUUCGUUAGGGACGAACGUGCUCUUUGUGAAUAAUGAGGAGUAAUGACGGUACCUAAAUAAGAAGCCACGGCUAACUACGUGCCAGCAGCCGCGGUAAUACGUAGGUGGCAAGCGUUGUCCGGAAUUAUUGGGCGUAAAGCGCGCGCAGGCGGGAUAUCAAGUCUGUCUUAAAAGUGCGAGGCUCAACCUCGUGAGGGGACAGAAACUGGUAUUCUUGAGUGUCGGAGAGGAAAGUGGAAUUCCAAGUGUAGCGGUGAAAUGCGUAGAGAUUUGGAAGAACACCAGUGGCGAAGGCGACUUUCUGGACGAUGUCUGACGCUGAGGCGCGAAAGCUAGGGGAGCGAACGGGAUUAGAUACCCGAGUAGUCC
Molecule: ribosomal RNA, 450 nt
Filed under: uncultured bacterium
Lineage: Bacteria
Description: partial 16S ribosomal RNA
Rfam family: Bacterial small subunit ribosomal RNA
Source: RNAcentral